GGAUAAUUUAGGUGGGUGCCAGGAGUGCAUUUACAUUGUUGCAUCUUCGAUUUAAGGUGUAAAUGCACAAUCUGGUACGACAUCUAGUUAUCU
This 93-nucleotide microRNA precursor is filed under the name Rhodnius prolixus. Its description in RNAcentral is "mir-277 microRNA precursor family". It matches the Rfam family "mir-277 microRNA precursor family". Lineage: Eukaryota; Metazoa; Arthropoda; Insecta; Hemiptera; Reduviidae. The record is from Rfam by way of RNAcentral.